UAGUCCACGCCNUAAACGAUGUCGACUUGGNGNNUUGUUCCCUUGAGGAGUGGCUUCCGGAGCUAACGCGUUAAGUCGACCGCCUGGGGAGUACGGCCGCAAGGUUAAAACUCAAAUGAAUUGACGGGGGCCCGCACAAGCGGUGGAGCAUGUGGUUUAAUUCGAUGCAACGCGAAGAACCUUACCUACUCUUGACAUCCACGGAAUUUGGCAGAGAUGCCUUAGUGCCUUCGGGAACCGUGAGACAGGUGCUGCAUGGCUGUCGUCAGCUCGUGUUGUGAAAUGUUGGGUUAAGUCCCGCAACGAGCGCAACCCUUAUCCUUUGUUGCCAGCGAUUCGGUCGGGAACUCAAAGGAGACUGCCGGUGAUAAACCGGAGGAAGGUGGGGAUGACGUCAAGUCAUCAUGGCCCUUACGAGUAGGGCUACACACGUGCUACAAUGGCGCAUACAAAGAGAAGCGACCUCGCGAGAGCAAGCGGACCUCAUAAAGUGCGUCGUAGUCCGGAUCGGAGUCUGCAACUCGACUCCGUGAAGUCGGAAUCGCUAGUAAUCGUGGAUCAGAAUGCCACGGUGAAUACGUUCCCGGGCCUUGUACACACCGCCCGUCACACCAUGGGAGUGGGUUGCAAAAAGAAGUAGGUAGCUUAACCUUCGGGAGGGCG
This 663-nucleotide ribosomal RNA is filed under the name Pantoea sp. Its description in RNAcentral is "bacterial SSU rRNA". It matches the Rfam family "Bacterial small subunit ribosomal RNA", at positions 791 to 1452 of the family's 1533-position model. The record is from RNAcentral. Lineage: Bacteria; Pseudomonadati; Pseudomonadota; Gammaproteobacteria; Enterobacterales; Erwiniaceae.